GUACAGGAUCGAUUGGGAUACUCAUCAAAUUAUAACACGAAACCGAGAUGAUUUACCUAUCCAAUGGCGGGCCACAUAUACAUGGAAACGUUCCCUACCAUGUUGUUUUUCGGUGGAUUACAAAGGACGGCAAAUGCUCAAAUCUUAUCACAUCGGAGUUUCAUCACAUCUCC
RNAcentral lists this small RNA (173 nucleotides) under pig gut metagenome. Its description in RNAcentral is "Bacteroidales-1 6S-Bacteroidales RNA suggested". It matches the Rfam family "Bacteroidales-1 6S-Bacteroidales RNA suggested", at positions 5 to 164 of the family's 179-position model. The record is from RNAcentral.